Callithrix jacchus (white-tufted-ear marmoset) is the source of this 87-nucleotide small nucleolar RNA. Its record names the gene U3. It matches the Rfam family "Small nucleolar RNA U3". Rfam says of the family: Small nucleolar RNAs (snoRNAs) are involved in the processing and modification of rRNA in the nucleolus. There are two main classes of snoRNAs: the box C/D class, and the box H/ACA class. The record is from Ensembl. Lineage: Eukaryota; Metazoa; Chordata; Mammalia; Primates; Cebidae.
AAGCCUAUACUUUCAGGAAUCAUUUCUAUAGUUUUUUACUCGAGAAGUUUCUCUGAAUGUGUAGAGCACCAACCGAUAUCAUCCUGA